AACGCGAAGAACCUUACCUGGCCUUGACAUGUCUGGAAUCCCUGAGAGAUCGGGGAGUGCCUUCGGGAACCUGAACACAGGUGCUGCAUGGCUGUCGUCAGCUCGUGUCGUGAGAUGUUGGGUUAAGUCCCGCAACGAGCGCAACCCUUGUCCUUAGUUGCCAGCGGGUAAUGCCGGGGACUCAUGGGAGACUGCCGGGGUCAACUCGGAGGAAGGUGGGGAUGACGUCAAGUCAUCAUGCCCCUUAUGUCCAGGGCUUCACGCAUGCUACAAUGGCCGGUACAAAGGGCUGCGAUACCGCAAGGUGGAGCGAAUCCCAAAAAGCCGGUCUCAGUUCGGAUCGGGGUCUGCAACUCGACCCCGUGAAGUCGGAGUCGCUAGUAAUCGCAGAUCAGCAACGCUGCGGUGAAUACGUUCCCGGGCCUUGUACACACCG
RNAcentral lists this ribosomal RNA (436 nucleotides) under uncultured bacterium. RNAcentral describes it as "bacterial SSU rRNA". It matches the Rfam family "Bacterial small subunit ribosomal RNA", at positions 958 to 1392 of the family's 1533-position model. The record is from RNAcentral.